Molecule: ribosomal RNA, 292 nt
Filed under: uncultured bacterium
Lineage: Bacteria
Description: partial 16S ribosomal RNA
Rfam family: Bacterial small subunit ribosomal RNA
Source: RNAcentral
GUGUCAGCCGCCGCGGUAAUACGUAGGAUGCAAGCGUUGUUCGGAAUUAUUGGGUGUAAAGGGCGCGUAGGCGGCUUGGCCAGUCACGGGUGAAAGCCCCCGGCUUAACCGGGGAAUUGCCCGUGAUACUACCAAGCUCGAGUACGGGAGAGGGAAGUGGAAUUCCUGGUGUAGCGGUGAAAUGCGUAGAUAUCAGGAGGAACACCGGUGGCGAAGGCGGCUUCCUGGACCGAUACUGACGCUGAGGCGCGAAAGCGUGGGUAGCAAACAGGAUUAGAAACCCCAGUAGUCC